GAAAAAUUUGACUCCAGUGACAGGGCUCUGCUGCUCAUGUUUGUAUUUUAAUUUUUUUUUUUAGUUUAUCCUGAGAAAGCUUUUUUGAAAUUUUCCUAAUUUUUUUUCUUCUCUGUUUUCCGUUUUUAGGUAAAUUUAAAAUAUUUUACCCAGAUUAUAUGCGAGUACACGUACUUUAUGAUAAAGUUCGACAAGUCACAAUGUGCCAUACAAAAUUAAAAUAUAUUUUUUUUUUAAAUUAUAUUUUAUUGUGUUUCUGUAAUUUUUUUGUGGGGGGAGGAGGGAUUUUAAAUAUAUUAUGUAUUUUUUUUCGCGCGUUACAUUCACAACCCCAAUGAUAAAAUUUUUUUUUUCUUUUCGGUCGGAUUAUUAUUAUCAUUAAAAAAAAAAAAAGAAAAAAAAAAAUGUUUGUUAUCUUGUAAUUAAGCGCGCACGCAAAAGCUAUUUACAUAAUAAUAUUGUUACAUUAUAUUUUAAGGGUAACGGUUUCGUUUUAAUAAUAAAUAAUAUAUAUUUAUACAAAAUGGACACUGGUGCAGUGGACAGUGGUGGACACUGACACUGUAUAGCUGUAUAAUAGUAUAGUAACGACCGCCCCGGACGGGAUCAAAACGGUCAGGACGUGCUCGAACAGCAUCAUUAGUGAUGUUUUUUUUGCACAAUAUUCGAAAGUACAUACCUAAUAUAAUAUAUAUGUCCUUAUAUACUUAUAUAUAUAUAUAUAUAUAUAUGUAAUAUAUGUAUUACUAUUAUGUAUACGGCGACGUCGUUGGCAAUUUAAUAUUUCUAAACGGUCAUCGCGGAUAAGAGGGAAUAACGUCCUCGCGAACAAGAGACACGUACCUAAUAGAAGGUUCGUAUUUUGUUGGAUUCGUCCGUGAUUUUUUUUCCCCGCAUUGCCGAUCUUAUUGACUUGUACAAUACGUACACGCUGUACAGAGCGAUCCGUUCGUUACACAUUUUAUUUACAAAGGUACACGAGGAAUUUGACUUCGGUUAAUCUCGACAAUAUAAUAACGGCGGUAAUUAUUUAAGUUUCAGGGAAGUCUGAAAUAAUUAGACAAUUAAAUUUUAACUAGACCCUUCCAAAAAAAAAAA
This is a non-coding RNA of Cinara cedri, 1098 nucleotides long. The record is from the annotation of a GenBank genome assembly. Lineage: Eukaryota; Metazoa; Arthropoda; Insecta; Hemiptera; Aphididae.